RNAcentral lists this ribosomal RNA (169 nucleotides) under uncultured soil bacterium. RNAcentral describes it as "partial 16S ribosomal RNA". It matches the Rfam family "Bacterial small subunit ribosomal RNA", at positions 338 to 524 of the family's 1533-position model. The record is from RNAcentral.
CCUACGGGAGGCAGCAGUGGGGAAUAUUGGACAAUGGGCGAAAGCUUGAUCCAGCAAUGCUGCGUGAGUGAUGAAGGCCCUAGGGUUGUAAAGCUUUUUUACCCGGGAUGAUAAUGACGGUACCGGGAGAAUAAGCCCCGGCUAACUCCGUGCCAGCAGCCGCGGUAAU